GGGGUCAUGGUGUUCUCAGAGCAGCUGAGGACCCAGUGGGUGGAGGUCUUCCCCUAACCAGCCCUUAGCCCUUAGGUCAAGGGCCUGCCCUCUCUGUUGGGGUGGGGGUGGGCACAGGUUUAUGAGUGGCUAUGGGAGGUGCCUGCAUGGUCUUUCUGGCCCCGCCCCGAUUUCCUCUUUCAUCUCAUCUCCCCAAGGGGCAGGAAAGUCCAAAAUAUUUCCUCUCUUCUCUUUCUCAUCUUUGUUUGGCAGGAAUUCUGUGCUUUGUAGGGCCUCCCCUUCAUUUCACAAAUCUUUACUGAGCUCCUUCCACGUGCCAGGCUCAGUCCAACUGCCCAAGAUAUGCUAGCAAAUAAAACAGAGAAAGGGCUUCACCUGGUAGGACGUUGUCUCACAGAGCAGCGGUCCCCAACCUUUUUGGCAUGAGGGACUGGUUUUGUGGAAGACAAUUUUUCUACAGACCAGGGGUGGGAAAUGGUUCGGGAUGAUUCAAGAGCAUUACGUUUAUUGCGCCCUUUAUUUCUAUUAUUAUCGCAUCAGCUCCACCUCAGGUCAUCAGGCAUUAGAUCCCAGAGGCUGGGGACCCCUGUCACAGAGGAAAACAUAUCAUGAGCAGCAGGCCCAAUGCAGAAGUGCAUCAUUUAGUGGUUCAGGAGUGUUAAGUGCUGUGAAAGAACAGAGGAAAACCAGAGCGCAUAGGGACGGCAGGAGAUCUGGGGGCAGAGGUGGAAGACAAGGGACAAGCUGGCACCUUCAAUAAGAAUUCUAAGUCUUUUCAAGACCGAAUGGACCACAGAGGAGAGGCACUGGGUAGAAAACUCAACAGGUGAUAUUUGAAGACCUCUGCUUAUAGCCUGGGUCAUCCCCCUGGAAGCUGAAGAUCCUGUUCUCAAAGCCUUUUAAUUGCUUGGCUAAAGACUGAACGCCUACCUUGUUCCCCACCAAAGCCACUGCCUGGCAGAACAUUCCAGGGCACAGGCUCUUGCAUUCUCCAGUCUGGAAGGUUCUGCUUCCACGGCCUGACAGAGGGAGCCGGACCAGGCCAUCAUGUUCAUGGUUCCAGCCCUACUAAGACUGGGCUCCAACAGCUGGGCCCUGCAGAGAGGGCGAUGGAAGAAAGACCCUAGCACAGGCCAGAAGGAGGCCCUGGGCUGUCACGGGUGCCACUGGUUUGGCCCCUGCACUUCCAAAGGAGCUGUUCUUGCCAAACUCCAAGCCCCCUCCCUAGGAGGCAUGCUGGCAAUGGUGGGCCAUGGCUUACAGAUUCGCUGGCCAUGCAUGGCUUAGUGCAGAAAACUACUGCUCUUUGAGAAGAGAAAAGAUGACCGCGCUCUGUGGGUGGAUUUAAGUUGUGCUGUGCUGCUGCCUUGCCUCAUUCCCCAUCACCACCCCCCUUCCUACUCGACCCUGGUUCAGCAAGUCAGUAUGGAACGGCCACCAAGAGUCAGUGGACCUGUGUGUGAGCCGGGCUCUGCCAUGGCCGCUCUGAAUGACCCUCAGCCUGAGCCCCGUUGUCCCAUCUUGCAGUGAUGAAGUUUAGGAACAUCAUCAUCUCUACCUCUGUUACACAGUAAUGAUGCUGUGCGUGGCGUGGAUGCUCUGUGCACUGACUGUCCAAGACCCCCAUUCCAAGGGUCUUACCUGGGGGGCAGUACCCUUCCCCAGUUGUGAACACUGACAGUGGCAAAUGGGCUCACCCUCCUCUCAUACAUCCCGGAGGACACGUAUCUGCCCAUACCUGCCCAGAACAAAUGCUGGGAAAAU
This is a long non-coding RNA of Bubalus bubalis (water buffalo), 1764 nucleotides long. RefSeq lists it as uncharacterized. Lineage: Eukaryota; Metazoa; Chordata; Mammalia; Artiodactyla; Bovidae. The transcript is spliced from 3 exons. The record is from RefSeq and is a predicted model, not a curated record.